RNAcentral lists this ribosomal RNA (492 nucleotides) under uncultured bacterium. RNAcentral's name for it is "partial 16S ribosomal RNA". It matches the Rfam family "Bacterial small subunit ribosomal RNA", at positions 29 to 507 of the family's 1533-position model. The record is from RNAcentral.
AGUGAACGCUGGCGGUAGGCCUAACACAUGCAAGUCGAACGGCAGCACAGUAAGAGCUUGCUCUUACGGGUGGCGAGUGGCGGACGGGUGAGGAAUACAUCGGAAUCUACUUUUUCGUGGGGGAUAACGUAGGGAAACUUACGCUAAUACCGCAUACGACCUACGGGUGAAAGCAGGGGAUCUUCGGACCUUGCGCGAUUGAAUGAGCCGAUGUCGGAUUAGCUAGUUGGCGGGGCAAAGGCCCACCAAGGCGACGAUCCGUAGCUGGUCUGAGAGGAUGAUCAGCCACACUGGAACUGAGACACGGUCCAGACUCCUACGGGAGGCAGCAGUGGGGAACAUUGGACAAUGGGCGCAAGCCUGAUCCAGCCAUACCGCGUGGGUGAAGAAGGCCUUCGGGUUGUAAAGCCCUUUUGUUGGGAAAGAAAAGCAGCAGGUUAAUACCCCGCUGUUCUGACGGUACCCAAAGAAUAAGCACCGGCUAACUUCGUG